Drosophila kikkawai is the source of this 85-nucleotide non-coding RNA. Lineage: Eukaryota; Metazoa; Arthropoda; Insecta; Diptera; Drosophilidae. The record is from the annotation of a RefSeq genome assembly.
GCAGUCGUGGCCGAGUGGUUAAGGCGUCUGAGUGUAAAUCAGAUUCCCUCUCAGGGGAGCGCAGGUUCGAAUCCUGCCGGCUGCG